CAGCACACCCGGGCCACACUGAACACAUCCAAUCUUGUCUGAUCUCAAAUGCUGAGCAGGGUUGGGUCUGGUUUGUCCUUAGAGGAGAAACCGUCAGGUACUACCAGGUGCUUUACUGA
Molecule: ribosomal RNA, 119 nt
Filed under: Oryzias melastigma (Indian medaka)
Lineage: Eukaryota; Metazoa; Chordata; Actinopteri; Beloniformes; Adrianichthyidae
Source: RNAcentral